GAACUCCCAAAGUCCCAUCAUUCUACAGGAAUCAGAUUGAUGUCAUCUAAACCUCAGCAUAUGCUUUUCGUUAAUGAUGGAAAGUUUCUUUCUCAUCACCAAAGGAGUUUAUGAGAGACCUAAGGGUCAAAGAAAUGGCAUUCAGCGGGUGGUCACGCUCUGUCCACAUUCCCGCUCUUCCAGAGGGCAGUGGCACUGGUGAUCAUUAAAAACAACAUCACCCUUCAAAACUGUGACAACUUCUUCCUCUAAUAGCCUGAAUCAGUGUCCCCAGAGAUAUCAGGUCUCCGUCUCUACAACUGGGGAAUGUGACCUGAUUUGGAGAAGAAAUCUUUGCAGACUGUCACCUUCAGAACUCAGCCUUGUCUGAAAAUCCAUCCAGUCAAGAUGAAAAACCACCUGAUGGAGUCACCAGUUACCUGAGGAAGGGGACACAGCCAUAGGAGAUGGAGCUGAGACGUGGCCUCACCUACCCCUUUCAUUAAAGGAGAUAGGACUCAAAGGGAUCAAUUUUACCGUGGGAAGCAGCCCAGGGACCAGAGCCCUGUUUGCAUGGCAGGUAGAGAGAGAGAGAAUUGUUUAUGAGUAACUGUCUCCCAUGAUAAUGGAGACCCAGAAGUCCCACCGUCUGCCAUCUGCAAGCUGGAAACCCCUUCCUACUUGCUCACCUGGAGAAGAGAGAACUGAAAGUGACUGGUCCGUGUCCCAGGAUACUUCGCAGCUGGGAUUGUCCCCUGAGCCAGAUUCCUCCAGGUGAGCAAAAGACAAGAAGAUUCGGGCUUCCCAGAAGUGGAAUCACGCAGGUGUUCCUACUUGAGGAGAUUUCUUCCCGGCGGGGAGUGAGAGAUCCAGGUUCCUGGCCAAACUGGUCCUCUGCCAUCUUCGACACCUGCCUCCCAAGGUACCCCUGUUUUCAUUUAUUGGUUUGUUGCUGUUGGUGUUGUUUGUUGCCGUUGCUUCGGUGCCGCACAGCUGAAAGAGAGAAAACAC
Long non-coding RNA from Balaenoptera musculus (blue whale), 990 nucleotides. RefSeq lists it as uncharacterized. Lineage: Eukaryota; Metazoa; Chordata; Mammalia; Artiodactyla; Balaenopteridae. The transcript has 7 exons. The record is from RefSeq and is a predicted model, not a curated record.